UGUUCGUUGUCGUUCAUUUAGAUUUAUAGAAGUGCAUUGGCUUCAAUGAACUCUUUAAACUGCUCGCGCGUCUCCUCUUCCAGAGAGAAGGAGGAGGAGGAGGGGAGGAUCCUUCGAGGGAGCGAAGACUCAAAAUAGAAUAAUAGAAAACACAAUAUCGACGCGAUUCCGUUCCGUUCCGUUCCGUUCCGUUUCGUUCCGUUCCGUUUUCGUUUCGUUCCGUUUCGUCGAUAAGAAACGACACUUGUUUAAACUAUCGAGCAACGAGGUAAUGAGAAUUUAGCUUCGCCGUCCGAAGACGCGAGGGAGAAAUACAGAGUGGCCGUGUUUGCUUUAGCGAACUGCUUUGAUCUAAAUAGGGACGAAGUUGGAAAGUAGCUCGCUUUAACCUCAUCCUUUCUGGUAAAUAUUAAUUUAUGGAAAACUGAAGCCUGGGACUGGGAUGGAAAACAAAAGACGCUUGGUGUCUCGUUAAAAUUUAUUUCCAGACAAUUCUCUUGCCUCUCUUUUUCUUUUUCUCUCCGCUCGCUGAGCUUAAUUUUCGAUUUUAUUUUUUUUUCUUGUAUCUAGAAAAAUAAAUAAAGAAGCUCCUAUUGUCUAAUGAUCGAAAGAAUAUUGUUCUUUCGUUUGGAAGGAGGAAAUAUUAUUGAAGAAACUCGAAGAAGAUUGAUAAGUAAUUUAAUCUAAUCGUAUCUAAUGCUCAUAAAAUAGAGUCAAUAUCAGAAUUAAAAGGUUCUUCUUCGCUUCGAAAUGAUAACAGGAUUGCACUUUGUGUAUUGAAAUAUAUAUAAUACGCAAUAGCUAAUGUGUAAAAAUAUGGAAGAAAAUCGAAAUAUUCGUACAUCGAUCGCAUAAAUAUUAAGAACGGAAACAAGUAAAUUAGAUUAGUGACAAAUAAAUUAGCGUAGGUAGGCAUGAUCAAUUCAUCAGGAGAUUCAGUAUAUUUCGAUAAAUUGUCGGACAGUCCCAGGUAGGAUAUAUAUAUAUAUAUAUAUGUAUAUAUAUAUUGUGAAAUUGCUUUGACACAUUUCCUACCGUUUGCCUGAAGCUUGUUGUGUGCGAACGAGAAUCGAUAAAUUAACCGGUAGAUAAUGCACACAACCGGAUGGAACGUAUACAUGCUUGUACGUCGUUCGUAAACUCCAUUCGUUGCUUCCGGCUAAUAACUCGUCUAAUUAAUUAAUUUUAAUUUGGCACUGUAAUUUCGUAUACCAGCUUUUUCUCGUGUACAAAUUUCUAUAUAUACAUUCGAAUCGCGAUCAAUUACCAAAUUAAACACAAACUUCUUCUCCGAUGAAGAAUUAAUUAUUUUCUAAAAUAAAAUCAAAGAUCCUACUAAACGAAACAUUUGGAAACAUGGAAGAACCCCGUUCUUGAUGAAAAAUACUUUUCUCCUUAAAUUUUUCCUUUCGCUUCAACGAUAUUAUACGAUAUCUCUUACGAACUUCAAUGUCGCAUAUUUGCAUGCAGUUAAUUAGAAUUUGCACACCGAUGACGCGCUUGUGCAAAAAAGAUAAAUCAUGGAAUUUCAAACGGUUGACAGGCCGCGUUGAAAACUUCUUAUGAAAGGCACACCGCGACGUUAUUAAUUCACCAAAGACAAAUUACUCGUGUCUCCACGAGAAGAGACGGGACCCCCUCUGUUAAGUUUGCUGUCGGCGCGUUUGUAUCACGAUACGACCAACAGUUUGCAGCUAGGUUAUAACAAGACUUAUAAUUACCUGAAUGCCACGCUUCGCUACACAUCAUUGCUAUACAUACGUCGCGCACAAUAGUCGAUUAAAUAUUAUCGAAUCGAGACCUCCAAAGAAGAUAUUAACACAUACCAAAAAAACUGAAAAACUAGCUGCUUUCUGCUCAAUGAUGAUCAUAUAAGAAAGUGAGACAGUUUUUAUUAAAUUUAAAUUGAGACCUCCAAAGAAUAUAUUAAUACCUUGUAUACCACCAGCAAAGAUACUCAUGUGAGAAACCAAGAAAGUGAGACAGUUUAAAUUGUUUGUAACUUAAUAAAUAAGCCUUAUAAAUAAAAUCUUUACUGAAAUUUGUAUAUAAUCUUUUGUUUGUUUCAAUCUCUAAAAUCGAGACCUCCAAAGAAGAUAUUAACACCUUGUACAUACCAGAAAAACUGAAAAACUAGCUGCUUUCUACCCAAUGAUGAUCAUAUAAGAAAAAUCGAGGUCUCCAAAGAAUAUAUUAAAAGCCUGUGUACCAUCAGCAGAGAAACUCAUGUGAGAAACCGGCUGCUUUCUGCCCAAUUAUUUUCGUAUCUCUGCCAGCCAUGACCACCAUCCGUCCGUAUCCCCGUGGCCACGGUCCUUGCGGCUGUCGUGGACCGCACGUGUCCCCUGUAUCCAUCCUUUAACCGCCUUUCACUUGGAUAUCACAUUCAGGAAAUGGAAAUACCAUAAUGGCCGCUGAAAUGCAGCCUCGGAAAAUUUCUACGGUUAUACGUGCCUCGUAUCUGUACCCUAAUGCUCUCCCUGAAACACUCGGACUGUGAAAGAAAAUUGAAAAGUCUGUAACCUCGUCCGAUACGUAACGGGUGAGACGAGCGAUUCGAAAUUGGAUUUAGUCUCCUGAAGAGAAGCGAAUUUACAAAUUCUUUUGUCAAUUUUAUUAUUAUUUGCUUAAAAAUCAUCAAACGGACUAAUAAGUCGGUUCAAUUUUCUUGAAAUCUUGGAACAACGGUUUAAGAUUUAACGAUAUUUGUAUAUUGAAAUAUAAUUGAGACAUGAUUUAGAGAUCAGAGAGUGUUAAAAUAAAUUUGUAGCAAUGUCUUUCCUCGAAUUGUAAUAUUUAAACAGCACUUGUAACUAUCUCUGCUAAUAACGAAAAUGAGUAUCGUGAAAAUUUUAUUUUACCAGGGAAAUGGCAUCAAAUCCGAGAGAAUCACUUGAAGACUUAGAAGAGAAAAUAUUUCAAGAAUUGAUUCGAAGAAUCGACAAUCUAGAGAAAAUGGAAGCAAAUGGAGUUUGGCAUUCGAAGAGAUUUCGCGAGGAACGGAGGACAAUGGUUUGCGAAUGUAUUGUGCGGUUUGGAAGAGAAAAGAAAAAUUCGUGAAAAUUGAAUUUUAAAAUUCAUGAUUAAGAGAAAAAAGUUUGUUUGUGAAGAGAGUAGUACUUCGUGCAUUUAUAUAAAAAUAUAUUCUCAAAAGAAAAAUCGAUUUUAUUCACCACGAUCAGAGAAAAAUAAAAAAGAUUGCAUUUCGAUAUCCAAAAUAUUAUCCGACUUCACAUUCUACGUACUUCAACUACCGAUUUUCUAAAAAUUAACUCACACGUUCACGCAGAAUUAUUCAUCAAUAUUCACCACUAUACAGUGUAUAUAAAUUCUCAAAAAGGGAGAACAAAAA
This is a long non-coding RNA of Apis cerana (Asiatic honeybee), 3352 nucleotides long. RefSeq lists it as uncharacterized. The record is from RefSeq and is a predicted model, not a curated record. Lineage: Eukaryota; Metazoa; Arthropoda; Insecta; Hymenoptera; Apidae.